RNAcentral lists this ribosomal RNA (255 nucleotides) under uncultured bacterium. Its description in RNAcentral is "partial 16S ribosomal RNA". It matches the Rfam family "Bacterial small subunit ribosomal RNA", at positions 335 to 606 of the family's 1533-position model. The record is from RNAcentral.
GUUCCUACGGGGGGCAGCAGUGGGGAAUAUUGCACAAUGGGGGAAACCCUGAUGCAGCGACGCCGCGUGAGUGAAGAAGUAUUUCGGUAUGUAAAGCUCUAUCAGCAGGGAAGAAAAAAGACGGUACCUGACUAAGAAGCCCCGGCUAACUACGUGCCAGCAGCCGCGGUAAUACGUAGGGGGCAAGCGUUAUCCGGAUUUACUGGGUGUAAAGGGAGCGUAGACGGCGCGGCAAGUCUGAAGUGAAAGGCAGGG